AAGAUUUAUUUCAAAACUUGUAGCACAAGCAGCAUUAGGUGUUGAUGAAAAUCUAGGAGUAACUGAUAUCAACACUAUGGCAUUACGAAUUUGUAAAUAUUUCCAUUUAGAAAAGGUAGAUUGUUAUUUUCAAAAAAACAAAAAUAAUUACCGAGGUAUGUUAUUCCACAUUUGUAAAAAUGAAAAAAAAUUAAUAUCAAAUACAAAAAAAGCAAUAGCUGCUGAUAAACCUCUGGCUACUGAAAAUGAUGUCGAUUUAAGUAUAAGUCGUGCAAAAGAUUUUUUAGAUAGCAGUCCUUGUGAUGAUCUUCAAUGGAAAAAAAUAAAGCGCGCAUGGAAAAAAACAAGUCAAUUAAGAAAAAUUGAUUUAAAAAAAAUUGUUGAACGUGCAAAAAAAUUAAGGAACAACUCGUACCAACUGAAGAAUUCUUUAAAAAUUGGCCAAUCUUAAGUUGUGCAAAUGGGCACAAAUUAAUUUAUAUAGACUUCAAAUUAUUUUUUCCUGAAGCAAAUAUAAUAACGGAAGAAAAAUAAAAUG
Long non-coding RNA from Aphidius gifuensis, 538 nucleotides. RefSeq lists it as uncharacterized. NCBI's taxonomy places the organism in Eukaryota, Metazoa, Arthropoda, Insecta, Hymenoptera, Braconidae. The transcript is spliced from 3 exons. The record is from RefSeq and is a predicted model, not a curated record.